GUGGGGUGAGAAUGGCUACAUGAAGAUUCUUAGAAACGCUGAUGCCCCAGGUGGUGUUUGUGGCCUUGCUAUAAGACCUUUCUAUCCGACUAUGUAAUGUAUUAAUCAAAGGGUGGAGUGAGCUUCUCCACUUUGCCUAUAGGUUAUUAGUACUACAGACAAAACUCAUAGGCUGUGAAAAUGCCUGUAAUUUGUACUUUAUAUUCAACAAUGAAUUUUCCUACCCUGCUUAGGCUAAAUUAAUAACCACAGCUGCAACGGCAGUUUGCUGGAUUAUGCCUUUGAAUACAUAUAGCAAAACAGAGCAUGUGACAGAACGAGCACGCUUCCCAGAGAACUUAUGGAACAUGCCUUCCACAGUGAAAACGACCUAUUGAAGGCUGUGUCUCCAUGACGAGCCUUUCAGUUUCCUAAGUAGGGAUUUUCUCCAAUGAUCGUGGGACAGAACUGAACCACACAUUUGCAACCAGAAUUGUAUAGCUUUACCUUCGGGUGAUGGACCUUGGUUUGUUCACUGAUGUAACCCAGUGUCGUACAACUUCACCUUUGGUGAUAAUUAUGUCUUCGGGCCACUAUGAUACCCCUAGUGAGUACAAUAUCGAUGAUAUAUACAGAUUUACCUUUGGGCGGCGUUAGCACCAUUAUUGAGCAUUAUUUUACACGUACUUGUUUUACGAAUGUUUUCAUGGCAUGCUAGAGUUUUCAGAAACCUAUUAUGUAGUGUUAUAUGUGUUUUCAAAACAGGGGGUUAGUAUGUUCAUAAAGAAAAUGGUUUUCUUAUUAUUAGUAUUAUUAUUAUAAACUUUGGUCCACUCACUCUUUUGAUUUUGCACCCCCUUAGGAGUUAGAAUCGAGGCACCCGAUCCCGGCAUUAGGGCAUGUCCACUUAGGUAUCUUCGAGUCUUCUCAAGGUAGGACCCGUUCCUCUGUUUGUACCUUUUUAUAAUAAUUCUUUCAUAUUAUUCCUGAUUAGUUGUAUGCUCUGAACACGAUUCUGAGUUGGUAUUUCUUUCUAAUUACAUAUUUUAAUUGUAUGCAUGUUUAAAAUGGCUUCGUCACCUUCGGGUGUUGGUCAACACGUGCUUUAACGCAAGAAAAACCAAGGGAGUCUUAGGGAGACAGGGGAUGAUAACCUGUGAUUCGCUCAACCAGGGGCAACGGAGCUCACUCACGUUGCUAAUCGUGGAUUCUCUCACACAACCAAGCUAAAUGCUUGAUUUUAGAAGGAGAAAUCACUCUCUUCAAAUGCAUAGGGCAAUAAAAUUUUAAUUCAUUCAAGUCUGCCAUUCAAGGCUUUCUAGUACAAUAUUUAUAAGCGUUUACAAAUUAAUAGACUUUAAGUUUCUAUGACACCCUUACAACUCCCAAAAUAACUUAACAAAUUCCUAAGCAAUUAAAAUACAUAACCUUUGUUAUUCCAAUGCAUAUUAAUGGUUUCAAAUUGUUUUCUCCAAGUCUAUUUCCUGCAUCAUGCUUACCCUGAUAUUUGGAAAUAUCGGAUCGGAGCGUGUCAAAAUAUGUGAUUGGAGACAUGUUUUUGUAGAUUGAGAUGAAUGGUACUAGUCCAGCAAUGACCAUCAAAUCUCAAAUCUUUCUUCCAAAAAACAUGUUUUUGUAGAGUGAGAUUAAUGGUACUAGUCCAGCAAUCAUCAUUCAACAGGCCCAGAAAAAAAGUCUCACGGGCUGAAACAAAGCCCAAAAUGCAGCAUCAAAUCUUUCUUCCAACUUUGCCCGUAACAAAAGUUAACCAAAAUUAGUUAAAACAACUUCAUUUUAUUUACAAAAUUACCACCCAGCUUAAAAAGUCAAAUAAAAUCAAAAUUAGUUUAAUUUUCUAUUUUUUUUAUAAAACAAACGUUGCAACCACCCAUAUCAUGACACUUUUUUUAUUCCCAAUUUGAUAAUAUUAUGUUAAUAUUUGCUCCAAAGCAGGCAACCCACUUUUGUUCUUGAAAAUAACUAGAACAAAAUAACCAUUCACUAGACCCUAACUGCCAUAGUUUUGUAAUUAACUUUUUUUAUUUACAGGUCGUGUUUAACAUUCUUUAGGAAUAAAAAUUGCUAUGUUGUUUCUUCCAAAUAUUUAUUCACCUUUGACCCAACCAAAAAAAAUAUUUCGUAAUAACUCAAUAGCUUAAACGUAUUCAAAUGGCUAAUUUCAGUGAUGUCUUCCAAAGACACCUUUACAAACUCAACCAUAGCAAAAACGGAUAGCAAAGUAAAUGACAUCAACACAAAUUUUAUGCAAAACAACUAUGAAGUGCAGGCUGCAAUUUGCAACCACUAGAUCAAUUCCAACCAUUUCUAACACAAAAAAUUAUUAUGGUUGCAAGCAACCAUUUCUUAUUCGACAAUUUGAAAACUUUUACAUACACCGUACUUUUAUCCAAAAGUGUUACAUCACUUCAAAACUAUUGGAGCAAUGCUUUCCGUUUUUAAAAUUUAAACCAAAGCUAGUCUAUAAUAUAAAUCAUUUACAGUUAACAAUUACAUGCAUAACUACUAAAUGUAAGAAAUGACAGACCACCAACUCAAGAUAUCGUAUCGCUUACUCAAAUAAUUUUCCCUCUAGCCUUGCAGUGAGGCCUUGUUUAUGGAGUCUAUGUUAUGCUCAUACAAAGAAUAAAUUUACCAUUUAAGAUCUACAACUUCCAAUGACAGAUGUGACAAAAGCUUUCACUUCUUCCUUAUGUGUCAUGGUCAACUCCACAAAUCUCUUUAUAUGGUUCCAAGUAGGGGUGGGUUCGGUUCAAAUCGGUUCGGUUUUUUGCCAAAACCAAAACCUAACCGAAAUUUUGGUUCGGUUCAAUUUUUUUCGGUUCGGUUUUUUUUUGGUUUGGUUUUUUCCGGUUCGGUUUCAGUUUUUUUUCAAAAAAUGAAAAAUUUUGAAAUCUUAAAUUUUAACAUAUCCAACACAAUCAUAACAUAAAUAUUCUGACUAGACUUAAAGAUAAUGAAAAUAAACAUUUAAAGUUCAACUAGAAUUAUAACAUAAAGGUUUUUUUUUAAUAUUUUAGGUUUAAAGUUUAACUGUAAAUAAAUUUCUUUUUAGACGAUGAUGAUGGAGUACGACCUUAUUCAUUCCUCUCUUUCUCUCAAUCUCUCUCUCUCUCUCUCUCUCUCUCUCUCUCUCUCUCUCUAUAUAUAUACAUGUAUUCUUCACUAGCAAUAAGAUAAACAUUCUAUAAUAUACUAUUUAUUUUGAUUAUUGUCUAGGUAACAAUUUUUUAUAUUUUCUUUAUCUUUAUGGUCCGAAUUUUUUUUAUCCAUAUAUGUGGUUACAUAAUAUAAUUUCUCUGUGUUCAGCUUCUACCACCAGCAAAUUUUGAAGAGGUGUUCAUCAAUAUUUUUAAUAUAUUGAUAUACUUUUCAAAGUUGUUAGGCCACGGAAGCUACUAUACUUGGCCAUAGGUGAGAAAGUUUGAAUUUUGUUUUUGAUCUCGUAGUGUUUAAUAAACUCAUGAGACUUUUAUACGAUGUUUGCUUUCCCUAAUCAACUGCAGUGCAGUUGAGAUAUGUGUUCUUAUAUAUGUGUUGCACUUAAUGAUAUAAACUAGAAAUAUUGCAUGUAAUGGUAUAAGUUCUAAUUUUUGUUGUAGAUGGAGAAGCUGAGAAGACAACUUGAAUUGGAAAGCAAACAAGUCCUACCAAAGCAGCAGUCUGAAGUAUCAUAUUCUAAUAUAAUAAAAUCAAAUAAUUAAAUAAAUAAAAUUAAAAAAAUAUUAAUUUAAUUAUUUUGGUUCGGUUUCUAGACCACCAAAACCGAACCGAACCAAAAGAGUUUGGUUCGGUUCGGUUUUUUCGUUCGGUUCGGUUUUUUCUAUUUCGGUUCGGUUCGGUUUUCAGUUUUUUGAACCCACCCCUAGUUCCAAGGUUCCUUAGCCUCCCAUUUACAUUAUUUUUGGAAAUGAAUACUAACUAUUCCUAUAACCGAACAAAUGCACUGUCAUUAUUUCGUAAACUGAACAAUUACUAUUUCUAGAAUUGAACACGGGUACCAUAACUAUUUCUUCAAUAGUGUGGAUUAUUUUGCUGUAUUUCUACAAAUAGUGUUUAUUUUGUUAACUUCAAGAAAUAGUGUGGAUAUUUUUGUUCACUUCCAAAAAUAAUGUGGAUUAUUUUGGGUUCAGUUUCAGAAAUAGUGUGAGUUAUUUUGGUGAGAUUCCAAAAAAAAGUGUGAGUUAUUUUGAUCCAAUUUCAAAAAUAGUGUGGAAUAUUUUGGUUCAAUUUCAAAAAUAGUGUAAUUUUUCUGUAGUUCCAGAAAUAGUGUGAGUUAUUUAUUUUGGUUCAGUUUCAUAAAUAUUGUGGGUUAUUUUGGUGCAGUUUCAUAAAUAGUAUGAAUUAUUUUUGUUUAGUUUCAGAAAUAGUGUGAAUUAUUUUGGCUUAGUUUCAUAAAUAGUGUGAGUUAUUUUGUUAAGUUCCAGAAAUAGUGUUUAUUUUGUUCCCUUCCAAAAAUAAUGCGGGUAAUUUUGCUAUAAUUCCAAAACUAUUAUCGGUUAUUUUGGUUUAGUUUCAAGAAUAAUGUUUGUUAUUUUGUUGUAGUUUCAGAAACAAUGUUUAUUUUGUUCAUUUUCAUAAAUAGUGUAAGUUAUUUUUGUUCAAUUUCAUAAAUAGUGUAGAUUAUUUUGCUGUAGUUCAAAAAAUAGUGUUUUUUUUUUGUUUUCUUCCAAAAAUAGUGUGCUAUUUCUUAAAUUGAACAAAGUUUUCCAACUUUUAAGAGCUGAAACUAGCAUUAGUAGAUUCAAAAGUACGAAACUCUGCAAACAAAUCAAAUUUACAUAUAAAAAGUUAUAUUUUGUUUAACAUCGUCCAAAUAAUUGCUAAAAAACAUGGUGACCAUCAAGAUCUAACAUCAAAUAAUUCCACAACUUGGUAAGGAAAUAGAAUUCCCUAUUAGUCAAGGACGAUUGUAGUUAUACAAUUUAAGAUAAUUUCCUUCCAUCCACAAAAGAUGUACAACUAAUAAUACCAAAGCAUUAUAUACCAAAAAUGUAUAUUCUCACUGAAGAAUUCCUCAAUGAUAGGAAGCCCACCAUUAAAACCUACGUGUGGUACACCAAAGCGUAAGUCGAAGAAAAAUGCCCUCAAGUAUGAUUAGAGAGAGAGAGAGAGAGAGAGAGAGAGAGAGAGAGAGAGAGAGAGAGAGACAGAGAGAGAGAGAGAGAGAGUGAGUGAGAGGGUGUGAGAGACAUACUUCUUGAAUCACACAAUGUUCAAUCAAUAUCAAAUAGAAAUGCUUGUCUAGAAGCGACACAAGCUAGAGAAGAUUUUUGUCUUCACAUAAUGGAAGGUGAUUAUAGCAAGCACUCAAGUGACAAAUAUUGAAAGUAUAAAGAACAUGACGAAACUAAGAUGCUAUGUCUAGUGGCUUGACCCAAUGAAACACAAUUGUUUGUUCUAAAGUAAAUAUACUUCCUGUUAACAUAUAUUACAGUUAAAAAUCCUGAAAUGCGAUAAGAUACCAUACCUUUCUUGUCAAUUUUGGUGAGUCUUAACAUUUCACAAAAUGCAUUACAAAAAUUUCUUAAUAAAACUAUAAAUAUUAUAGGACACAGAAAAUUAUCGUAGUGCAAAGAAAGAUUAUACGCUCUUGACCCUUGUCCUGCUUAAUGUUUUCUCGAGUUUAAGCUAUACUGAGUUGGCAAUGUAAAACUAAUAACAAGUAACCAGAAGAUAAAUAACUUUUCGAACUUAUCACUGUGACAUAGAUUUGUGAUCAAAAUUCCUCCUAGUCCAAGACCAAAGCCUGAAGGGGUUGAAUACUUUGAACUAAUAAGAAUGAACAUAUUUGUUAAGGUAGGAUAAGGAUCAAACGUAUUAAAUUGUCCAUUGUAUCAACCAUUCAUCCACAAGCCUACCAUUUGAACUCCAAAAUAAUUUCACUUAUCUUGUCAACCAUUGGAUAUCAAUUACCUUUUAAAUGCUUAGACAGACACCAUCCCCCAGUCCAAACCACAACAAAAGGGAAAAAGAAAGGUUUUAGUUACAUAGUUCAAACACGAAAAGCAUUAAAGGUCUACAAUUACAGGUCAACCGAUGUCUCAGAAAACUAUGAUCAGGCACCUAAAUGUAGGUGAGGCAAUACGAGUCGCUCAGGAAAAGGCUGAUGCAACCUGCUUAGCUAAGCAAUUUGCCAACAAUCCUAAAAAUGUAAAAACGUUUGAUGAUUUUGUUUGCUUGUUUGUUCAGAAUCAAGAUUAAAAUUCCUAAGAACAAUGCAAUGCUAUUCUCAAAUACAACUUCCUGUAAUGAAAUUUGAAAACCACAAACCCCAACUCCACUCAUUCCAUCCAGAACACAUCAAAUAUAGUAUUAUAAUUUAAUCGAGUUAAAACUCAUUAGGGAUAGAUCAACAUUCACAAAGAUAGAAUCCCACGUCAACAAUGAAAAGAGGUCAAACCAUAUGGGAAUUGGAUGAUUGCGUUAAACUAUUUAAGAUGAAUAUGUACUAGAAAAGUAACUAAAAGAAAUUUUAAGAGAUAAUUAGAUAAUAAAAACUCAUCCCUCAUAUUAAAAAGGAGGUGCCAAAUGAAGCACCUAACAAAUUGAAAAGCAAAAAGCAUGAAGAAAUAGCUCUGACCAUUUGUUCAAGCUCUUGACCUCCUCGUUUGUCACUUGCCCUCCAAGCCCAGCAGCUCCAGCUUCCGGUUGCCGUGGUCUUCACCUUCAUCAUUAAUUCGAUUGCAAAAAUUCAAUAACAAAAAAAAAAAAAAAAAACCGUGAAUUGAAAUCAGGAACAAAAUCAGAAAUAUGCAAAUACUUUAAACAAGAAACCUAAACGAGAAGAGAGCGUACUAUUUGAGGAGAAACUGAGCUCUAGAGCCUCGACACUGAGCCGCUUGCCCGUGCUUAUCGGAUUCGAUGAUUCAAUUUAUUUGUGAAUUGGUGGAAUUCGAAUUGAAAAUGAAAAAGAGAUUGGGUGGGGAGAGAGAGAGAGAGAGAGAGGAGAGAGAGAGAGAGAGAGAGAGAGAGAGAGAGAGAGAGAUUGCAACAAUGGAGGAAGUGAGAUUGAAUUGGAAAUAAAAGCAAUAGCAGAGAAUAGAUGGAGGAGGAUCGAGAAAGUGAGAGAAACAAGUUUACGUCACCGUAAUGAAAAUAUGAGGAAUUGAAUUGAGGAGGAGUUGGAAUGAGAAGAAGUCAAAAUCGGAUUUCUGUUGAAACUGUUUACUUAAAUGUUCUGGAAUCGAAAUAGAAUUUCAUAAAGUUGUUUACUAAUUCAACAUAAUCAGAAUAUAAACCAAUAUGAUUACUAAAAUACCCUUGUUCCAAAUCAAAUAUGUAUUAAUGCUAGCCAAGAUAGUGUAAGCCACCAUGAUUUGCGUAUAUUGUUUAUAACCUACUCUUUGUGCUCGAUGGUACUUGAGCUAUGCUUGAUGUUACUUGAGCUAUGCUUAGGCGUGCUCAUUUUGUUCUUAGGAUUGUGUAUGUCAUGAACAGUAUGAAAUUCCAUAUGGUGGAAUGAUACAGUUUUAUAAAUGUGUUAGACAACAUAAUAACUAUUGAGCUUGUGUUUCAGAGAGUGUACUGAUGAAAAUUUUCCAUAUCUUUGGUGGUAUCAGGGCAGUCUCAGCCACCAUGCCACAUUUCAGUGUUUCUUGAAGUUACUGAUUCACGGAAUACUUCCAAUGACUAGAGUAGCACAUGCAACAAAUAUAGUUCGAAGAUAGACAAUCAACACAUUCAACGCAGCUUGUAAUUUCUUCUUUGUGGACAAACUUAGAUGAGCCAUUAGUCUACACAAAAUAAUGAAGAAAAAAAAUUUCAUGAAGGACUUCAAUUAACAAGUUAACAAACAUAUCAGCAAACUGAAAUAAAUUAACAUUACAGAACACAAUCAAUCACAAAAAUUUAUAUUUUUUUUCCUCCAUACCUAGUCUCACAAUUAACGGAUAAAUAACAACAUAAAUCAUAGUAUACCUGCUGUUGGAAAUUUUGAGUAGUUUGAGUAGAAAUUUCUUUGUUCCACAUUGACCAUUCCCAAAAGAUUUUAUCACUUUAUAAGGCUUUGUCCUUUAUAGAAAGUGAUUGGAGUAAUAGGCCUGGAGACUAAAAUUGGGCUCACCCGUGGGGUUGGGUUUAGGGGUGUAUUAAUUAAUUGAUAAUUAAUAUAUAAUUAAUAUAUAUUUAAUUGUCAAAAGAUGGGCCUUGGGCCUUCUUGGGCUCUAAUAAUUAAAUUAAUUAAUUAUUUUUAAUUUCAAAUUUAAAUUAAUUAAUUAUUUUUACCAACAGACUCAUCUUUUCAGAUGAAGUCUGAAGUGUGAGAAUGCAGAAACAAAAACACAAUUUUCAGCAAAUGUCUCCCAACAGAUGCAUCCCUUCCUCAUACCUGUUGUGAACAGGUAUAAUCACAUUAUAUAUACAUCCAUCUGCAUGGCAUUUAGAAUACAGAAAAUAAUCAACUUCAUCUUCUAGAUUCCUAAACCUUCUUACUGAGAGAACCACACUAAAUUCGCCAGAAGUUAAAUUUUCCGGUGCUGGAAUUUUAAUUUGAUCGUUGAAUCCUGGUGAAGCAGACGUCCGUAGAACUACAAGCAUAGAGUAGGGACGAAAUUUCUGUUUCAAGGACAUUGCGAUACGCAAGCCUCGAUCUUCAAGUUGUCUGUUUUACAAUUCAUAUUCUAGUUUAUAUUCUAUUAAUUCCUAUUGCAUUCAUUAUUUAUUAGCAUAUAUAAAUUAUCACAGAUUGUUGACUUAUAUCCAACACCUGCAACCAGUGAAGAAAGCUCAACCCACAACCUUGUCCUCACUCUUCCUAAUUUCAUAAAGAUGAUGAAUAUUUAAUUAAUAAACAUUUGUGAGCAUAAAGAAUUAGGGAUAAAGUACUCUUCCUAAACAAUACAACAUUUCAAACAUCAAAACAAAUCAGGCCCACUUCACAAAUCCAAAAACCAAUAACAAAGUUUCCAACUUAUUGAAAUUCGUAAAAAAACUUAUCAAUCCCACGCCCUCCUCUCUCUCUCUCUCUCUCUCUCUCUCUCUCUCUCUCUCUCUCUCUCUCUCUCUCUCUUCCAUCGAACCCCACCUGAAAAAAUCAAGACUCAUCAAUCCAUCAUCAUCUCAUUCCUCACCACCUUCAUUAUUCAGACCCCACCACCUCAAAUCCCUACAACUCAGACCCCACCACCUCAAAUCCCUACAACCAGAGCAAAUCACUAGCCGUUUUUCAUCGCUACUCAAGCAGAAGUCAUGGGGGUAUGCAAGCUAGUCUUUUUUUUGCCCUUUAAUUUAGUUAUUGAAUUUGUAUCAAUGUAUGUAUGCGUAUGGUUCUGUGUUUGAUCUGAGACUGAGUUUUGUUUGUGGAGCAAUUCGAUUCGUUUCCAGCAACAGCUUGGUGGUGGAGUUGAAAUUGAAGAACUAGUCGGCAGGAAUCAAUUCAGCCUCUCUCUCUCUCUCUAACAAGUGAAGUGAAGUGAAGGAAGCAAUGAAAGAUUCAGCAGGAUGCAAGGAAACACAAUUAAUGGAAAAUCUUUCAUUUAUUUUCUAUCAGAGGUCAGAGUCUUCGUCCAGAAACUCAUUUACCCGUGUUGUUCAAAGCAAAAAAUUCAAUAUAGAGAUAAAAACGCAGAAGAAGUAGGGAUUUACCUGUCCGUAAUUGUGACGAGAGCUGCGGCUCAAAGGAGAGAAAGGCAUGCGUCUGAGAGAAGAGAGAAAGGAUCUAUGUGAAAAGGAAAUAGUCUAGGGUUAAAAGGAUAAUCUUGGAAGUAAUGAAAAUAAGUGAGGGUAUAAAGGAAAAAAAAUUAACAUUCUAAUUGCCCCAAGCCAUCCGGUAUCCAAAUACCUCAUUUAUGUUGGGAAUCCAAAUCAGCCAAAUAUUGAAAUUGGAUUCCGAAAUUUGUGUGGAACCCACUAAAUUUUGAUUCAUCUAGAUUUGGUAAACACUAGGGUAUGCCGUAAUCGGAAAGGCGUUUCACCAUAUUCAAGAGCAACGUCGAGUAUGUGGAGAAAUUCAAUCGUGAUGAAAAUAACACAUACAAGUUAGGACUCAAUGAAUUUGCUGAUUUGAGCUACGAUGAUUUCGUUUGACAAUAUGCUGGAUACAUAAAGCCCACUGAACAUACAUCAUCCGCAGAUGUAUCUUUUAGGUACGAGGGCUUAGGCGGUCCUGACUCCUAAUGUUCCCCUUAGCAUCGACUGGAGGAUUCAUGGAGCCGUCACCACCGUAAAGAAUCAAGGACCCUGUGGUAAGAGUCUAAGAGAUCAACUUUAAAUGCUUUAUGUUGAGACAUAUAUUUUCACAAACAAAAUAUAUUAGCAAGUCUUAUUAAAAACAGGGAGACUUCAAAAAAUAAUAAUAAUAAUAAUAGAGUCCAAAAUGGCGGACUGACUAGAAAUAAGGCUCACAUUAUGUGUGUGUGUGUAUAUAUUCUUAUAUAUACUAUAUUUAUAUAUAUAAGAAACAAAGAGAGGAAAAAAAAUCCCGCACACGUGGACCUCAACAUAUGCCAAGUCUAAAGGAGUUUGUCAUCUACAUGGCAACCGGGUAUAGAGAUCUUGUGUGUCUAGAACCCUUUAAAAGCUUCCACGUUCUCCACUUAAGUGGUGGUUUUGUCUCAGCAUCUCCACACCCCAGAAAAGUAGCAUCCCACUAACUUCAACUGUCAUGUCCACUGUUCGCCUAUAAAAAGGCAUCGAACCAAAGAAAAGGGGGAAGAAAAAACAAGAGGGGGUAUGCUGCAAAAAUUGAAAGAGGAAUUGAGAAAAAGAAGAGGUACUCUACAGAAAUUGGGAGAGAAAUUGAGAGAGAAAUCCGAACCAAGUCUUUCAAGGAAGGAGAACGAACAACUAACAACCACCAGAAGGUACAAAACCUAUGUUUCUCUUCUCUUCAUUUUCUUUCCAGAAAUUUUGUUUUGCAAGUAGGUGUUUUCUUGAGUAAACUUUGGUAAGCAAAGAAUCUAUAUGCUAGCAACCCUACGUUCUUUUAUACCUGCAACAACAACACGAAGCAGUCCAAAAAUGGGAACAACCACAUGUUUUCUUUCUGCCUAAAUUUGAAGAGAACAAAAACACACAAGAGCUCUGCUCCCCGCCGCUGCUGUCAAUCCCAUGAAUUUCUUCGGGGUGGUCUAAACCACCCCAUGAAGUUCCAAUCAAAUCCAAGACGCUGCAAUGGCUCUAGCACCACCGUCGUUGUGUCUUCAUCGUCAUCAACGCCCUACAACCUGCGAGCAUGUGUCAAGGUCAAACAGCCGUGGUCGCAUCUGAUAAUAGUAUAUAAAGCAAGCUUAACAGCUUGUGAUCGUGUGGUUGUAAUAGUGACAAGUGUAGUCAUCCUGUAAUCCUUGUAAUAGCUUAGAAAGUAAGCAAUCUAGUUAGAUAUAUACUCUACAUAACUAUCAUUGUAAUUAAUCAGAAAAACAGUCAAGUAAUAAAAAAUAUCUUCUCUGUCUGAAAUUUUCUUUCUCUCUCUUCGAAUACUUAUUUCUUCUUCUGCAAGAAUACACCUUCUUUGUAUCUGUUGCUAUCUUUACGUGGUAUCAUUCGCCGGAAAAGCUUCGUGCUUGACGGUUAAUUGAUCUUGGUUAUUUUGCUUCUGCUCUGUGUCUUCCAUCUCUCGAUUUUUUAGGGCUCUAAUUUCCCUCUUCUUCUCUGGUUCUCGGUGUUUGAAAUAUUGCAUACCAGGUGUUUGAUCUUUUACCUCAGUGACAUCUUCUUCGAAUUCUUGAUUCAUAUUGGAUCAUGGUGACUGCUACGCAAUUGCAGAUUCUUCAAUCUCCUAUUACCUCUCUCAUCUCAUCAGUUUCCUCCUCUGUUUCUGUGAAACUUGAUGACUCCAAUUACCUCACAUGGCAUUUUCAGAUAGAGCUUCUUCUCGAAGGCCAUGGUAUUAUAGGGUUUGUAGAUAGUACAAACCCUUGUCCUUCGACCCUGAUCGAUUCAACUGAGUCUUCCAGUGAUUUGCAUAACAGUGAUGCUUUUAAGAUUUGGAAAAUGCAGGAUCGGGCUCUCAUGCAACUCAUCACUGCCACAUUAUCUCCUUCUGCAAUUUCGUGUGCUAUCGGUAGCACUAGUGCUCGAGACUUAUGGGUGCGUCUUAAAGAAUAAUUUUCAAUUGUUACUUGGGCCAUAAUCUUUUAGAUGAAAUCUGAGUUGCAAAAUAUCAAGAAAGGUACAGAUUCCAUUUCCUUAUAUCUUCAACGAAUUAAAGAAGCUCGUGAUUACUUAGUUGCUGCUGGUGUUCUGUUUGCAGAUGAUGAUAUUGUGAUUUUAACUCUUAAUGGUCUGUCUUCUGAAUACAAUACAUUGAGAUCUAUUAUUAGAGGUAGGGAGAAUGUUAUCUCUAUGAAGGAUCUUCGCUCACAAUUGUUUGCUGAAGAAACAAUGCUUGCUAAUGUUCUUGUUACUAUUUUCCUAUCUGCAAUGGUAGCUAGCAAUUUGUCUGCUUCAUCUAAGUCUCCUCACUUUGAGGCCAAUUUGACUCAUGAUAAUUACUCCAGCAAUGGUCAUCCCUUAAAUGGCGGGUCAUAUGGUUCUCAGGGAAGUUUUUAUCAGUCCAAUGGGUCUGGUUCCAAAUCUACUUACAACAAAAACAAGGGUAAAGGCAAGUAUCACUACAAUUCCCGGUUUGGUAAUGCAAAGUCUGGUUCUUUUCAUAACAAUGCUCCUGGUAUUCUUGGUACCUCUCCACCAAAGGCACAAGGGUUUUUCCAAACUCCAUGUCAAAUUUGUGGAAAAUUUGGACAUCUAGCUGUUACUUGCCGGUUUCAAAAUACUGAGAACCCUAUUACAGAAGGUUGUCAAAUAUGUGGAAAAAGGAAUCACAGUGCUCAUUUCUGUCAUUUUCGAAAUGCCAACCUACAAACUCAGCAAGUGUCAGCUAUGCAUGUUGCCGCUCCAUCAUCUGUUCCAAGUGCUCUUCCCUAACAGAUUUGGCUUAUAGAUUCUGGGGCUACAUCUCACAUGACUGUUGACCUUAAUCAGUUGUCAUUGGCCUCUCCAUUUCCUUCCAAUGAGACAAUUCAAACUACUGGUGGUGGUGCAGGUUUAUCAAUUUCCCACAUUGGUUCAUCAAUUCUACAUACACCUUUCAAACCACUGCAUCUUAAUUCAGUUCUAUAUGUGCCUAAACUAACUCAGAAUUUGUUAUCUGUGCAUAAAUUGCGUCUGGAUAAUAACUGCUGGUUAAUAUAUGAUGUUUUGUGUUUUUGGAUCCAGGACAAAGCCACAUGGAGGAUACUUUUCAACGGACAUUGCAGUAAUGGAUUAUAUCCUAUUCCACUACCAGUUUCAUAUCACUCUCCUUUACCCAGAGUACAAGCUGCUUUCCUUGGAAAACAUGUAUCUUUGAGUCUAUGGCAUAGUAGAUUAGGCCACCCAUCCAAUUCUAUAGUAUCUGCCAUAUUACGAAAAUGCAAUGUAUCUGAUAUACUUGAUCAUAAGUCUGUGAUGUGUCACUCUUGUCUAGAAGGGAAAUUUUGUAAAUUACCAUUUGUUGACCUUGUCUCUAAGUCCCUGCAUCCUUUGAUAUUAUUCAUAGUGAUGUAUGAGGUCCUUCCCUUUGUAAUUCUGUGGAGGGUUUUAGAUACUAUGUGACAUUCAUUGAUGAAUGCACUAGACAUUGUUGGCUCUUUCCUCUCUUCAAUAAAAGUGAUGUUUGUUCAACUUCCAUUGCCUUUUACAAUUUUGUGUUAAAUCACUUUGCUAUUUCUGUUAAAACCUUACAAAGUGAUGGGGGAGGUGAAUAUAUUAGCAAGUCAUUUCAACAAUUUCUUGUGACCAAGGGUAUUAAACACCAACUUUCAUGUCCAUACACCCCUAAACAAAAUGGCCUAGCUGAAAGGAAGCAUAGACAUAUUGUUGAAACAGCUAUAACCCUUUUGCAAACUGCCUCAUUGCCUCCAAAAUUCUGGUCAUUUGCAUGCCAAGUUGCUGUCUACCUUAUUAACAGAAUGCCAACACCUGUUUUACACAACAAAUCCCCAUUUGAGUUGUUGUUUAAAGAUGUACCAGCUAUCAAUCAUCUUCGGGUAUUUGGUUGUUCUUGUUUCCCACUGUUAAAACCUUACAAUAACACCAAGUUGCAACCUAAAACAACAAAAUGUGUCUUUUUAGGCUAUGCUUCCAGAUACAAAGGCUACCUAUGCUAUGAAGUGAGUCAACAAAAUAUGUACAUAUCUAGGCAUGUUAUUUUUUAUGAGAGUGAAUUUCCUUAUGCCCUGUUGUCUUCCAAAAACUCAAAUUCAUCAUCUUUUACUCCUUCUAUUUUGUCAUCCUCUAUUUCAAUGCCUUCUGUCACACAUGAUAAUCAGGUUGUCUCUAUAUCAUCUGUAUCUAACUUACCUACACUUGAGUCAAUUCCUAACCCUCCACACCCUGAAUCCAUUACUGCAACAACAACAUAGUCUAUUCUUCCUUAUUCCCCUGUGGCUGCAGAAUUGUCCUCUGGUUCUAAUCAUCAUGAUCACAUUGAGCUUUCUUCAGAGUUUCACCCUGAGAGUUUGCAAGUGGUUCCUUCUCUCCCACCUAUGAAUACACAUGCCAUGCAGACAAGAUCCAAAAAUGGCAUCUUCAAGCCUAAAGUUUUUGUCUCAAAAAUUGGAGAUGACAAUCCAAUUGAUUUAACUCAGGUGGAACCAUCAACAUACAAGUCCGCUCUUAAAUCCUCAGUAUGGUGUGCAGCUAUGACAAAAGAGCUAUCGGUUUUGCAUUCUCAAGGAACUUGGUCCUUAGUUCCUCUUCCUGCAAACAAGAAUUUGGUAGGGUGUAAGUGGGUCUUCAAGAUUAAAAGAGAUGCAGAUGGGAACAUUUCUAGAUAUAAGGCAAGACUUGUUACUAAAGGUUUCAAUCAAGAAGAGGGUAUUGACUAUGGGGAGACUUUUAGUCCAGUUGUUAAACCUACAACUGUGAGGUUAGUUUUGGCUUUAGCUGCACAGUUUGGUUGGUCUUUAAGGCAACUUGAUGUGAAGAAUGCCUUUUUUCAUGGAAUUUUACAAGAAGGGGUUUAUAUGUCUCAACCUCUAAGUUUUGUCAACUCUCAACAGCCCUCUCAUGUUUGUAAGUUACAUAAAUCCUUAUAUGGCUUGAAACAAGCCCCAAGGGCUUGGAAUGAGAGGUUUACCAAUUUUUUGCUUUCUCUGGGUUUUCUUACAACGUAUUCAGACUCCUCAUUAUUUGUGAAACAUGUUGGAAAUUCUGUGGUCAUUCUAUUGCUAUUUAUGGAUGAUAUAAUCAUCACAGGCAGUGCUACUGCAGCUAUUACUGAUGUUAUACAGGCUUUAGCUCAAGAAUUUGAUAUUAAAGAUUUUGGACCACUCCAUUACUUCUUAGGGAUCCAAAUUACUCAUCAUUCUACUGGAUUAUUCCUCUCACAGUCUAAGUAUGUUACAGAUUUGCUUCACAAGACUGAUAUGGGUCUUUCAAAACCGUGCAAUACCCCUUGUCUGCCUUAUAACAGGUUACUUAAAGAUGAUGGAAAACCUUUUCAUAAUCCAGCAUUGUAUCGAAGUGUGGUGGGUGCUUUGCAAUAUCUUACAUUUACAAAACCAAACAUUGCUUUCUCCGUCCAUCAAGUAUGUCAGUUUAUGCACUGUCCCAUGGAGUCUCAUUUUAUAGCUGUGAAGAGAAUCCUCAGAUAUCUGAAAGCCACAAUGGAUUAUGGUGUUCAACUAAGCAAAGGGGAUUUAUGUUUACAUGCAUUCAAUGAUGCUGAUUGGGCUGGGGAUCCAAAUGACAGACGAUCUACUAUAGGUUUGGUGGUCUAUUUAGGGUCUAGUCCCAUAUCUUGGUCAUUCAAGAAACAAAAUACCGUUUCUAAGUCUUCAACUGAAGCUGAAUACCGAGCACUUUCAUCCAUAGCUACAGAGAUUGACUGGAUCACCUAACUUCUGCAGUUUAUUAGGAUUGAUGUCUCAUGUCCAGUCACUCUUUUCUGUGACAAUCUUUCUGCUAUAGCCUUGGCUUAUAAUCCAGUUAUGCAUCAAAGGACAAAGCACAUUGAAGUUGACAUUCAUUUUGUUCGAGAAAGGGUUGCCAAGAAGUUCCUUCAACUUCAGUUUGUUUCUUCCAAUGAACAAUUUGCCGAUAUUUUCACCAAAGGAUUGUCUACUCCAUUGUUUCAGACACAUUGUUGCAAUCUCAGGUUGAGCAAACCUCCUCCUGUGAUUGAGGGGGGAUGAUAACAGUAUAUAAAGCAAGCUUAACAGCUUGUGAUCGUGGUUGUAAUAGUGACAAGUGUAGUCAUCCUGUAAUCCUUGUAAUAGCUUAGAAAGUAAGCAAUCUAGUUAGAUAUAUACUCUACAUAACCCUCAUUGUAAUUAAUCAGAAAAACAAUCAAGUAUUAAAAAAUAUCUUCUCUGUCUAAAAUUCUCUUUCUCUGUCUACGAAUACUUAUUUCUUCUUCUGCAAGAAUACAUCUUCUCUGUAUCUGUUGGUAUCUUUACAGCAUCUUCAAGGACAAGCACGCUUCCCGUAUUCUUGAAUUGAUGGUGCUAUGCACAACGGUCUCGCUGAGAAAGAAAGCCACGAGAACUCUCAAGGAACAACUGUCAUCACAUCCGUAUAUCCGAGUCCAAAGUAGUUACGCCCCCAUCCUGCUCACUCCGCCAUCAACUACCACGUCCCUGAAAGCUCCGUGAGUGUCCCGGCACCAUGCUCUGUCUUUUCAAAAUUAAAGAUUUUUAGCACUGCAACAACCAACACCGCAACACCACCGCUCUUCAACCGUUGUCUUCGGCAAUCCUCCGGAAAAAGCCCAAGAGCAGUGUAAUCCGCAAUCCGAGGAUGGUGAACCAAGUGAUAUAGUUGGGCACGCGGGUUCAGACCAUCAAUAAAUUCGACAGAGGCUCGAAUAAGAAAGUGGCAACGGUGGUCAGUGUGAAGAAGUUAAAGAAGGCAACAUUUGCAUCACCACUUCUGAUGUCAAACGGAAGACAAAGCCAAGGACAGCACCAGCGACUUCAAUGCCGCCAUUACACAACCACUGCACAAAUCUGAGCAUGAUGAUCCAGGUGGCAAGCUCAUGGAUUCGUACGGACAAUUAUUGCCGUCAUUAAUCACGAACAACGAGAAAGAAGAUGCCACAUAAGAGUUCCUUUUGGGACCAAACAAGCAUCUCAUGGCAGCCAGGAGUUGCAGAAAAAGGGACAAUGCGCAUGGAUGCAUAGAAGGCUUGCUAGAAAUGAAUUGUUCUCUUUCUUUUGUUAAUCACCCUCAAUGUGAUGACAAUAUAAGGAUUAAUUAAAGGAAACCAAUAUAGCAUGGGGUUCGAAAAGUUUGUUUAAAGGUGAAAAUGAGGCUCCCAAAAAUUUACUGCACAAAGGGCUCCCUAUUUUCCUAUCGUUUCUAUGGAGUUCGUAGCAAGAACAAAGAGCAUUGUUGCCUUCCUCAUAUAAUGAUCGCUACUCUAAAUAUUAAAACACGUUGCUGCUUUUCGGUAUAAUUUUCUUAAAAGUCUCCAGAGCUUUCAUAAGUUCCAUGAAGAAAGGAAAUGCAAAUAGCACGUGAUGAAGAGCAAACAAAUGGGGAUGCCGUGCAUGCGAUUCCCUAGAAAAAUGGUCAAAAUAUUAUUAGAAAAUGGUGAAAAGAUGGCAAAUCAUGAUCAUCAUCACCAUGAGGAAAGCCACUUAUGUGGCAUUGAAAUUAAAGAGUUAAAAUAAAAAGGCCUUCCUCUUUGAUUUAAUGCACCAAAAGGCAAAGCCUUCCUUUAUCCUUUGUGCUUCUGCUGAGCACCGAAAUCACCACGUGGAAAGCAAGUAGACAACAAGUGGAUGUAAACAAAAAAGAAGCAUCCAAAUGCUACUGCCUUAAUAACUCAUAUGACUUAAAUAUUAAUCAUCUUUAUGACUAAGUCAUCAAUAUUAGUCAUCAUUAGCUUGCUGACAAAGUUGGAGAUAAGUUCGGGACAAAUGGGUUUAAAGUUUCAUUUAAGUGGGAUUGAAAGUUCAAAAGAAGAAUAUAUAAAAUAAAAUAAAAGGGGCUACUUUGAACAAAACCCUUGUGGGAUAAAUCCCGUGAAGGAAUCAGAGGAAAUAUUUUUUUAUUCCAAGCAUGAUUCUCUACAAAUUUGUCAAAAGAAAGAAGCUGCAAAGGAAAAGGGAAAAAACGAGUUUAAAACUCAAAAGGAAGAGAAAGAGCUUCAACCAAAAAUACAAAAGAGGCUUUUAUUACAUCGGAAGUAAAUAAAAAUUGUGGAUGUGGUCUUCUUUUCAGCACGUAAAGUCCUAUGUGACUUGAAAGAGUUCAAGCUGUCCCAAGUUCACAGAAAAGGAAAAUACUUGCUAUCAAACUUCCUUGGGAAAGGCACUCACGUGAAAAUCAAAAGGAAAAAGCCAUCUCAAAGACCCUUUUUUUUACCAGUUGUUGUGUGCUCUAUUACACUAGGAACUCAAGACUAUCAUAUUAUUUCACAAAGAAAUAAUGUGGAGGGAGGAUGCCUCACGUCUUUGGUAUGUGAAGAGGAGAUUAUGGUAAUCCCACAAGAAGACAAACACAAACAACCCUCAUUGACCACAAGGAAGAACAAUUAGGAGGAAACUACUUUGUAUAAUGACAAGUUCUUUUCAUACUUGUUGAAAGAAGAAAUGUGCAACUCAUGAUGACACUUUAUCUUUGGUUGCUGCUCCAUUCUUCAAAUGAUGUUUCGGAAAAAGAGGAAGAAAUAGUAUUGCUCACAUGGGUGUCACAGAGCAUGGCCCCCAGUAAGAAGUAUUUGGGCCAAAGUACAGAGGACGUCAAAAUGGCAUGUUCCAUGAAUCCAAAGUCACCAAAAAUAGCUUUUUGAAAAGUUCAAGUGGAGGAAAGGCAAAUUUAAGAAGUUUUGAAGCAUUAACAUCAAACCUAAAAGUGGUUGUGCUCCAUGAAGAGAAACAACAAAUCGUAAAGAAAAGCACCAUAGAAAUGCCCAAAUUCCAAAAUAGCAAAGUGAAUUGGAAGAAAGCUUCAUGAAGAAAAGUCAAUUGUUACUAGCAAGCCCCAGUGCAGUUUCUUCUUAAUCAAAACAAAAGGACUAGAUGACAAGCAUGAUUACAUGCCCGAUAAGAAGAGUUAGCAGCUAGCUACAAAAUCGAUUGCACCACAACAAGUCUUGAAGGGCACAAAGCCGUAUCAAAUCUUAAAUGGCACGAAGCCGCGUAUUGCUCCAAUGGUCCAAAGUCCUCGCCUGCAAGAGCCUAAAUUGCACAAGGCAUCAAAUGCUCCAAUGGCUUAAAGUCCUCACCCGCAUGAGCUAAAACUGCAAAAGGCAUCAAAUGCUCCAAUGGCUCAAAGUCCUCACCCGCACAAGCUAAAACUGCACAAAGCAUCAAACGCUCCAAUGGCUUAAAGUCCUCGCCCGCAUGAGCUAAAACUAUACAAGGCGUCAAAAGCUCAAAUGGUUUAAAGUCCUCGCCCGCACGAGCUAAAACUGCACAAGGCAUCAAACCCCAAUGAGCUAAAACUGCAUAAGGAACUACGAGUGGCUUGAUCCCUCAACGAGGGUACGUAGGCGAUCUAGGGCUCUACCUAGGUGCAGUCACAAAAUCAAAUAAACACCUAAAUCUCCAAGUUACGAUUUAUUCAUAUUAGAAUCAAAGGGUAUUCCUUUCCCAAAAGAAGGGUUGUAAUUAAUAGGCGCAUAGCCUAGAAUGGGUCGAACUUAAAUUAAUAAAACCCUCUUUGAAACAAUGAACGAGGGUGAAAUUGUGUUGAGUGAAUUAUUUGUUUACAUAUUGUGUACAAUUUUUGCUCAACACUUUAUUUUGUAUUACUAUCUUAAAUGUUUUUAUUCUUUCCUAAAUUACAAUACUGUCGAUAUUUAGUCCAUAUCUUACCAUGUAUCAAGUACACUAGAACACAUCACUAUUCCUCGGUUUUGUAGUAUGUAUUGACAUUCAUAAUUUGUGUUGUAUAUUGUAGGCUGUUGCUGGGCAUUCUCUGCAGUGGUAGUUUUGUAAGGGAUUAUCCAGAUCAGAACAGGUCACUUGAGAUCGAUCACUAUCCGAGCAGCAACUUGUGGACUGUUUCGGAGAUUACGGAAACAAGGGCUGCCGUGGUGAUACUAUGGUGACUACCUUUGAAGACAUACCGCAAAACCGAGGAAUUGCAAGCGAAGCAAAUUUGUCACAUCCCGGCCAGGGGCGGACCACUUCCCAGGCCCGCUCCACCACCGUAGCACGAUAUUGUCCGCUUUGGGCUUACCAUUCCCUCACGGUUUUGUUUUUAGGAACUCACGAGCAACUUCCCAAUGGGUCACCCAUCCUGGGAGUGCUCUGGCUCCCUUCUCGCUUAACUUUGGAGUUUCCUAUGGAACCCGAAGCCAGUGAGCUCCCAAAAAGCCUCGUGCUAGGUAAGGAUGAGAAUAUACAUUUAAGGAUCACACCCCUGGGCGAUGUGGGAUGUCACAAUCCACCCCCCUUAGGGGCCCGACGUCCUCGUCGGCACACUUCCGGCCAGGGAUUGGCUCUGAUACCAUUUGUCACAUCCCGGCUAGGGGCGGACCACUUCCCAGGCCCGCUCCACCACCGUAGCACGAUAUUGUCCGCUUUGGGCUUACCAUUCUCCCUCACGGUUUUGUUUUUGGGAACUCACGAGCAACUUCCCAGUGGGUCACCCAUCCUGGGAGUGCUCUGGCUCCCUUCUCGCUUAACUUCGGAGUUUCCUACGGAACCCGAAGCCAGUGAGCUCCCAAAAGGCCUCGUGCUAGGUAAGGAUGAGAAUAUACAUUUAAGGAUCACUCCCCUGGGCGAUGUGGGAUGUCACAAAAUUACCCAUACCAGGCUACUGAGGGAAUAUGCCACCCUAACAACUCAAAUUGGCACGCUUCCGGUGCAAGUAUAACUGGUUACGGAUUAGCUCCUUGCAACAGCGAAAGCGAUCUAAUUAAGGCCGUGUCCAUGCAACUAGUUUCAAUUAGCAUUCAUGUCACCUAGCAGGACUUUAGGUUUUACAAAAGCGGGGUCUUCACAGCUGUACAAGGUUGCAGGACAGUCCCAAACCAUGGUGUCACCAUCGUUGGCUACGGGAAUACUACAGAUGGCACCCAGUACUAGAUACUCAUGAAUGAAUGGCGUGAGAGCUGGGGCGAAAAUGGCUACAUGAGAAUUCUUAGAGAUGCUGGCCCUCCUGAAGGUCUUUGUGGCCUUGCUACAACGACUUCCUACCCAAUUAUAGAUUGAUCGUCUCGGCUUCGAAGGCUACAAUUAAGUGCGUAAAUCUAAUUUUCUUAUCAAUAUUGAGAAAGCUCUGUCGAUAAAAAGGGCUUGUAUUUUGUGUCUAAUUAGCAUAACUGAAGACGGCAUCAAGUUGUUUUGAAAAGAUUAUAAUUAAGGGUGUGGAUCUAAUUUUCUUUUCAUUUAGGUGUGCAGAGUUUUAUCUCAAAAUACCUCAAUUCUCUAGACUUAAAAUUUUAGAUAGUUCUUGCACUUGAUGAAGUUGAAACUUGAUAUACAUUAGAGCAAUUUUUAUCAAUUAGUUGAGCAUAAAAUUAAUUGAGAAGAUUUGCAACCUCAAGAGAAUUAGUUUUGAAAAGGACGCUUAGUUACGUCAAGAACACUUUGAGUUCGUACUUGAACUUCAAAAAAUCAACAUCAAAUACUGGAGUUUUACGUUCAAAUUUCUUGAACCUGACCCCAAUUCCUUAUGAACAGACUGGUAAAUUUGUAGUCAUCAGCACCAUUAACGGCAACUAAAGGCCAAAGGCAAAGACUCCAGCAAAUAGACCAAGGCCUUGUAGUCAUCAGACCCUUGAUUCAUCAAUGAAAGUUGGGGUUCGACCAUAAAAUCAAUUGGCAAUAUGGGGAGUAGACCAACCUCUUAUAAGCCCAUACAAGAUCCCUCCUCCCAUCAAUGUGGGACUCAUUCUUAACACGCUCCCUCAUGUGUGGCGAAUUUUCAAGCAUUACACAAUGGGAUGACGUGGAGCACGUGUCGCAGUUUGACUUUACACAUGGGACAACCUGCUCUGAUAUCAUAAAAAAAGUUGAAGUUCCACCAUAAGCCGUUCGAACUUCUUUGUGCACAAACUCCUCGGCAAAAACAAAACAAGCAUAGCAUUCGGGCUAGACUGAUUGAUGAAGUUUACUUUGAGUCAUCAACUUGUGGAAUGUGCCUGGAAAUUUGUCUCCCUUCCAAACUCCCAUCCUAACGAUUUCAACAAACUGCACAUCCAGGACAUCCCGAACGUCUUCUAUAUAAACCGGUAAUAUCAUGCUUGCUUCUUCACAUCCAGCUGGCCAAUCACUACUUGAAGCACAGAGCGCCCUCUCAUCACCGGUGGUUCUUUGCGAGCAAUGGCUUUUGAAAGAAAACUUUUGAUUGUUACCAUACUCAUCACCUUGGGGACUUUGGCAUCUGAAGCCACGUCCUACACAUUGUACCAAGCUUCCAUUGCUGCAAAACAUGAGCAGUGGAUAAAAAAGCAUGGACGAGUUUACCAGGACAGCGUGGAGAAGGAAAGGCGUUUCCACAUAUUCAAAAACAAUGUGGAGUUUGUCGAGAAAUUCAACAGUGAAGGGAACAUGACUUACAGCCUUUGCGUCAACCGAUUUUCGGAUAUGAGCUAUGACGAAUUCCUCAGGUAUUAUACUGGAUACAAGCAGCCCACUGAAUCAACCUCAUCCGCAGAUGCAUCAUUUACGUACGAAAACCUAAGCCCGACGGAUGUUCCCCCAAGCAUUGACUGGAGGGACAAUGGAGCUGUUACUCCAGUAAAAGAUCAAGGGCGCUGUGGUAAGAGCACCAACCGCCAUAUUAACAUAGGGCAAAGCUUCCUAGUACAUAUGUAUGUAUUACAUUAAUUACUUUCUUCGUGCAUUCAUUCUUACGGAAAUUAAUUCAUAUCCGUUUGUUCGAAUACAUGCAGGUUGUGUCUGGGCAUUUUCCGCAGUGGCAGCAGUCGAAGGGAUCAUCCAAAUCAAAACCGGCAAAUUGAUAUCACUGUCUGAGCAACAACUUGUGAGCUGUGAUACAAUUAACAAUGGCUGCCAAGGUGGUUCGAUGGAUAAAGCCUAUGCAUACAUUCAACAAAACGGAGGAAUUACCAGUGAAGAAAAUUACCCAUACCAGAGUUUAAAUGGCAGUGCCGGAACAUGUGAUAUGAACAAGGCAUAUAAGGCUGCUGCCCGGAUAACUGGUUAUGCAGAGGUACUUUCCAUCAAUGAAACCGAGCUACUCAAGGCUGUGUCCAUGCAACCAGUCUCUGUUGGCAUCCAUGCCUCACCAGCCUUUCAGCAAUAUUCAGGCGGGGUGUUCACCGGUGAUGAUUGUGGGACAGAAUUGAACCACGCUGUUACCAUCAUUGGGUAUGGGACAACUGAAGAUGGCACCCCCUAUUGGUUAAUCAAGAAUUCAUGGUCCGAUACGUGGGGUGAGAAUGGCUACAUGAAGAUUCUUAGAAACGCUGAUGCCCCAGGUGGUGUUUGUGGCCUCGCUACGAGAGCUUCCUAUCCGACUACAAGUACUACAGACCAACCCAUAGGCUGUGAAAAUGCCUGUAUUUUUUACUUGAUAAAAGUAUGAACUAUGAAAUUGCACUAUUUUACCUUUAUAUUCAACAAUGAAUUUUCCUACCCUGCUUAGGCUAAAUUAAUAACCACAGCUGCAACGGCAGUUUGCUGGA
RNAcentral lists this long non-coding RNA (23530 nucleotides) under Malus domestica (apple). RNAcentral's name for it is "long non-coding RNA (MDOM_LNC009698)". Lineage: Eukaryota; Viridiplantae; Streptophyta; Magnoliopsida; Rosales; Rosaceae. The record is from RNAcentral.